RNAcentral lists this ribosomal RNA (333 nucleotides) under Triticum aestivum (bread wheat). RNAcentral's name for it is "partial small subunit ribosomal RNA". The record is from RNAcentral. Lineage: Eukaryota; Viridiplantae; Streptophyta; Magnoliopsida; Poales; Poaceae.
GUGUUGGGCACAGACUUAUGCCCAAAUAACAUCUGGCAAUAUUUCUCCUGGUGUUAUGUGUUCCUACCUGAUGGAGCCAGGUUCUAUAGCUUUGGCCUGGCAGCCAUAUGCUGGGCUAUUUGGAAUAGCCGCAACCAGGCUACUUUUGAACACAAACAACUUAAGACACCGUUUAAUGUGGUAUACUCUGCCUGUGGCUUUUUGACAUAUUGGGCAGGCUUGAUGACUGGUGCUGACCGGGAGGCAAUGGAGCGUGGUGCCAAGAUGUUCAAGACGAACGCUUCUGCGAUGAUGCGGAUAUGUGCAGCUCCAGCCAGGGCGACGAUGGAUUGA